GAUGAACGCUAGCGGCAGGCCUAAUACAUGCAAGUCGAGGGGCAACAGGUGUAGCAAUACAUGCUGGCGACCGGCGCACGGGUGCGUAACACGUAUGUAAUCUACCCAUUACUGGAAGAUAGCCCGGAGAAAUUCGGAUCAAUACUCCAUAACACUAUAACAUGGCAUCAUGAAGUAGUUAAAGAUUUAUCGGUAAUGGA
RNAcentral lists this ribosomal RNA (200 nucleotides) under uncultured bacterium. RNAcentral describes it as "partial 16S ribosomal RNA". It matches the Rfam family "Bacterial small subunit ribosomal RNA", at positions 28 to 225 of the family's 1533-position model. The record is from RNAcentral.